Molecule: ribosomal RNA, 433 nt
Filed under: uncultured bacterium
Lineage: Bacteria
Description: partial 16S ribosomal RNA
Rfam family: Bacterial small subunit ribosomal RNA
Source: RNAcentral
AACGAACGCUGGCGGCAUGCCUAACACAUGCAAGUCGAACGAGACCUUCGGGUCUAGUGGCGCACGGGUGCGUAACGCGUGGGAACCUGCACUUAGGUUCGGAAUAACUACCAGAAAGGGGUGCUAAUACCGGAUAAUGUCUUCGGACCAAAGAUUUAUCGCCUUUGGAUGGGCACGAGUUGGAUUAGCUAGUUGGUAGGGUAAUAGCUUACCAAGGCGACGAUCCAUAGCUGGUCUGAGAGGAUGAUCAGCCACACUGGGACUGAGACACGGCCCAGACUCCUACGGGAAGCAGCAGUGGGGAAUAGUGGACAGUGGGCGAAAGCCUGAUCCAGCAAUGCCGCGUGAGUGAUGAAGGCCUUAGGGUUGUAAAGCUCUUUUACCCGGGAUGAUAAUGACAGUACCGGGAGAAUAAGCCCCGGCUAACUCCGUG